This 747-nucleotide long non-coding RNA is filed under the name Homo sapiens (human). Its description in RNAcentral is "HSALNT0276644". Lineage: Eukaryota; Metazoa; Chordata; Mammalia; Primates; Hominidae. The record is from RNAcentral.
AAUAAGAGGUGGGAGGCAGCCUCACAAGUUAGCAAUGCAGGGAAUGUUACAAGGAGUUAGCUUCAGUAUGAAAAAAACAUUUGUUUAGAGGCAUGGGAUAGAAUCACUGAAAUGCUGAGACAACUGUUCCUUCUCCUCCCUUGAGCUAAGACCCUGAAAGCUGAACCAGUACCAUCUCCUUGGAGCACCUUCUGAGGGUCCCUCUAGCCUACAAAGUGUAGUCAAGUGGAAUUUGUGCGCUUUCCUGAUUCAGGCCCAAUCCAGUCUUCCUAUGCCAGCCACAGAGCAGUCCCAUACUCCCUUCUGCUCAAUCCUACCCUGCCUCUUCUGCCUAAGCGUACAGGUAGCAGACCAGCAAGUUAACUACAUAAUCACAUCUCUCAGUAGAACGUGACUACCAUUCCUGCAAGAACCUUAAACAAACACUUAUCACCAUCAAGAUGCCUAUUCUGGCAGAAGCCCAUUCCUCCAUCUGCAUGGAUGAUCAGAACAGAAAACAAUCCGGGAAUAUGUUGCUGUUUAGAAUUGGAGCAUCAAAAGCCAAUGCAGAAGAUACAGAAGGAGCAGCCAGGAAGAAAAUCAGGACAGUGGUGUUUCACAGAAACCUAGAGAGAAGAGAAUUUCACAGAAAAAUUAGCAGAGCAUGCCAACUACUGAUACUGAUUAGGGAAAUUUAGAAAUGUCAAAAAUCUUCUAACUCAGCCAUGAAGAGAUCACUGCUGAUUUUCUGUCAGGGAAAAACCCCAA